Molecule: ribosomal RNA, 244 nt
Filed under: uncultured bacterium
Lineage: Bacteria
Description: partial small subunit ribosomal RNA
Rfam family: Bacterial small subunit ribosomal RNA
Source: RNAcentral
AGAAUCAACGCUGGCGGCGUGCCUAACACAUGCAAGUCGCACGAGAAAGGGGAGCAAUCCCUGAGUAAAGUGGCGCACGGGUGAGUAACACGUGAAUAAUCUACCUCCGAGUGGGGAAUAACUGAGAGAAAUCUUAGCUAAUACCGCAUAAUACCCACGGGUCAAAGCAGCAAUGCGCUUGGAGAGGAGUUCGCGGCCGAUUAGUUAGUUGGCGGGUAAUGGCCCACCAAGACGAUGAUCGGUA